RNAcentral lists this ribosomal RNA (259 nucleotides) under uncultured bacterium. Its description in RNAcentral is "partial 16S ribosomal RNA". It matches the Rfam family "Bacterial small subunit ribosomal RNA", at positions 526 to 779 of the family's 1533-position model. The record is from RNAcentral.
CGUAGGGUGCGAGCGUUAUCCGGAAUUAUUGGGCGUAAAGAGCUCGUAGGCGGUUUGUCGCGUCUGUCGUGAAAAGUCCCGGGGCUUAACCCCGGACUCUGCGGGUGGGGUACGGGCAGACUAGAGUGCAGUAGGGGAGACUGGAUUCCUGGUGUAGCGGUGGAAUGCGCAGAUAUCAGGAGGAACACCGAUGGCGAAGGCAGGUCUCUGGGCUGUAACUGACGCUGAGGAGCGAAAGCAUGGGGGGAGCGACAGGAUU